This 294-nucleotide unclassified non-coding RNA is filed under the name Hevea brasiliensis (rubber tree). The record is from RNAcentral. Lineage: Eukaryota; Viridiplantae; Streptophyta; Magnoliopsida; Malpighiales; Euphorbiaceae.
GGGCAGUUUCAGCAGCCAACAAAGCAGCCAAUGCAGCUAGAGUAGCUGCAGUGAAAGCUGUGCAAAAGCAGAUGCAUCAUCAUCGCAGGAAUAGUGAUGACCUUGCAAUGUUCAACUGAUGGACUUGUUUCAAUUCAAGCCAUAAAGUGUUCAUCCUUUUUCACAGACAGCUGCAAAGGGGGAGUAGUCCUUAAAUUAUUGUUCUCCUUUCAAUCACUUAUGUGAUUUCCCUAUCAUGCCCCAUGCGGAAGCUAGCUGUAUUGUCUAUUGGAUUUUUGCCUUGUCUAAGUUGUG